GCUGGUGUGGCGUAAAUGGCAAACGCACGGCGUCGAGAGCGCCGGGGCUUUCAGGCCCGAUGGGGGUUCGAGUCCCCCCGCCAGCA
Molecule: transfer RNA, 86 nt
Filed under: Acidobacteriota bacterium
Lineage: Bacteria; Pseudomonadati; Acidobacteriota
Description: Acidobacteria bacterium (rhizosphere metagenome) tRNA-Leu
Rfam family: tRNA
About the family: Transfer RNA (tRNA) molecules are approximately 80 nucleotides in length.
Source: RNAcentral